UUUUUUCCCAUUGAGAUGGGUUUCCCUUCAAUGUCUGGUGAUUCUUCAUUGUUCACAUUUAAUAGUGACACGUGAAGAAGGAGAAUGAGUCUGUGUUAUCAUUAGUGAAAGGCUCGUCUAGAUGGUGAUUCUUCACUGUUCACAUUUAAUAGUGACACGUGAAGAAGGAGAAUGAGUCUGUGUUAUCAUUAGUGAAAGGCUUGUCUAGAUGGUGAUUCUUCAUUGUUCACAUUUAAUAGUAACACAUGAAGGAGAAUGAGUCUGUGUUAUCAUUAGUGAAAGGCUCGUCUAGGUGGUGAUUCUUCACUGUUCACAUUUAAUAGUAACACAUGAAGGAGAAUGAGUCUGUGUUAUCAUUAGUGAAAGGCUCGUCUAGAUGGUGAUUCUUCACUGUUCACAUUUAAUAGUGACACGUGAAGAAGGAGAAUGAGUCUGUGUUAUCAUUAGUGAAAGGCUCGUCUAGAUGGUGAUUCUUCACUGUUCACAUUUAAUAGUGACACGUGAAGAAGGAGAAUGAGUCUGUGUUAUCAUUAGUGAAAGGCUCGUCUAGGUGGUGAUUCUUCACUGUUCACAUUUAAUAGUAACACAUGAAGGAGAAUGAGUGUGUUAUCAUUAGUGAAAGGCUCGUCUAGGUGGUGAUUCUUCACUGUUCACAUUUAAUAGUAACACGUGAAGGAGAAUGAGUGUGUUAUCAUUAGUGAAAGGCUCGUCUAGAGGUUUUGCUUCGGGGAGUCGAUGGGGUUUCCGCAUGUUAGUAAGUGAUGCCUUUGGUCUGGAUGGUUUCCUUCCUCUGGAGAAAACCUUCUCCUCUCCUCUCUGGAAGGCAGCUGCUUGCUUGUUGGUUGUUGGUGUUCUACUCACUGGUUACCCGAGGGGUGGGGUGCUGGCAUCGGUGAGGGAGGAUAAUGAGGGUUGACUGUCAAUGUACAGAUUUUAAUCGACCCUCCUGUUUUCUGAUGCCUGCCUCACUUCUCUGCCCCUCACCCCCAGGAAGGUCCACAGAUGAUGCUCCUUCUCACGGAUGCGAGGCCAUCAAAUCACUUUUUGUCUCCGCUGCUCUCUCUCCAUCGUGGAUAGCCACCAUGGUUUCUCAGGAGGGAAAGGACACAACUGGCAGAAUCUACGGUCUCUAUUUUCCCGUUGCGAGAUUUCAGCGGAGAGCCUGGUGGCACUUACAGCAGACAUCACAGAUGCCUCAGCGUUUCGGAUGAGGACAGUAAAGACCUUCCUUGCUUCAUGAAACCUUCGUUUUCCAGGGGAGAAAACACAGGAUUUCUGUGGGGCGGAAAGCAGAAAUAUCAUGAGCUCAGUGGAGAGAGAGAAGGCAGUUUUCCAGGCUGGGAGCAGUCAGAUCUCCAGUGGGUCCCAACACUGCUCUGUAGCAAUGCCUAGAAGGUGAUGGAAACAGGGUGAACAUGAGGAGUAUCAAGUCCAAAAUGAAGCUCUUCAAACCAUCUGGGAAGAGAAAACAGCAUGACAAGGAAAGGUGUAUUUGUCUGAUCCCAGUAAUCAAUAUAAACAUCAAUGAUAACCCCACCUAUUUUUUUAAAUGUAUGAUUUGGAUGAAACAAGAGAAAGAGACUGAUUGUUGCUGAGUCCCUGCUGCAGUCCUGACACAGCUCUCCUUAUUUUGUUGAUGCUCAUGAGGACCCUGAUGUCUGAGGAAGAAGGUUCCCGUCCAGCUCUGCCCCUGGUGUGUCACAUGCCGGCCUUGUCAACGCACACGAGAACCUGACAGGGUGAGUGUUAUAACCCAGUCAUAGAAAAGGAAACUGGCUCUAAAGUGUAUGGCAUCUUGCCCAAGUUCUGACACUUAGCAGAGGCCUGAGUUUAAAUACAGCCUCGUCUUGCUCUUCGACAGCCUCAGCACCACAUGCCCUGGGUGGCCCACGCAGUGAGUCACUGACAGCCCUCGUGGUUGGCCCGUGGCACAGCAUGGAGCGAAAUGGUCCAGUGACCUUUUCAGACACUCGGGCAAUGCGUGGUAUAGUGUAUGUGGUCACUCCCAGUGAGUCCUAUUGUUCAGUUUAAUAGAAUAUCUAAUUCUAUGUUUAUUCUGAAUAAAGGGAGAUUUCUUGUGGUUUUUAAGAAUAUGAAGCAUAUCUAUUUUGCCUACAAGUUGGAAGUUCCGAUACUGUAGGAAGCAUAAGUGCAGGUUAUAAUGAUGGGUUUUUUAUAAGACUGAAUUCACAUCAAACUGAAUCAGUAACUCCAGCUGUAUGAACAGGGUGAAACAUUAAACAUUUAAUGAAAACAAUUCCUUUCUUAGGUCACAGCAAGGACUAAAUAUGUCCAAUUAUCAUGCCCACUAAGAAGAUGUAUUGUAAUAUUUGCAGUUAAUCACUCAUUCACUUCAAAGGGUGUUUAUUAAUUGUCUGCUCUGGGCAUAACAUUAAUUGGAAGCAGUGUGUUCACAUGGAAACAAAACUUACCUGAGACUCUCAGUCACAACUUUCCAUGACCAGUACACGUUUCUAAUUUGAAAUACAUAUCUAAGGCUUCAAAUGCAUAAAUAGGUAUCCCAAUGUAGAACUAAGUCAAUAGUUGCUUUGAAUUAAUUGUUUAAAUUAACCUGGGAAUCGGAAAGAUAUGUCUCCAUGAAACAAUAAAGGCUGUGUUAGAAUUAGUAAACUUUAGAAGAGCAUUUUAAUCCUAAUAUAUAAACAUACUACCUAGGCACACUGUUUAAAUACAUCUGCAACCUACUAUUUUUAGAUUUAAGAAAAUCAUUAAACCUUAAAUUUGGAAAAGAUUCCAGUGUUAGACCUCUAGACUAUGAAACUUGAAUGUUUUUCUAAACUCUUUGAGUUUUAUCCAGAAAUACAGAUUUUCCUGGCACUGACAACUGCAAGAAAUUUCACUUGGAGUCUCCACAUAGUCAACCAUGUGAUGUUAACAUCAGUGUAAUAGAUACUAUCACAAACA
RNAcentral lists this long non-coding RNA (2925 nucleotides) under Homo sapiens (human). Its description in RNAcentral is "HSALNT0317537". The record is from RNAcentral. Lineage: Eukaryota; Metazoa; Chordata; Mammalia; Primates; Hominidae.